This 92-nucleotide transfer RNA is filed under the name Candidatus Pelagibacteraceae bacterium. Its description in RNAcentral is "tRNA-Ser". It matches the Rfam family "tRNA". Rfam says of the family: Transfer RNA (tRNA) molecules are approximately 80 nucleotides in length. The record is from RNAcentral. Lineage: Bacteria; Pseudomonadati; Pseudomonadota; Alphaproteobacteria; Candidatus Pelagibacterales; Candidatus Pelagibacteraceae.
GGAAGAGUGGGUGAGUGGUUUAAACCAGGCGGUUGCUAACUGUCCGAAGCUCGAAAGGGCUUCCAAGAGUUCGAAUCUCUUCUCUUCCGCCA